This 324-nucleotide ribosomal RNA is filed under the name Odontotermes zambesiensis. RNAcentral's name for it is "partial large subunit ribosomal RNA". The record is from RNAcentral. Lineage: Eukaryota; Metazoa; Arthropoda; Insecta; Blattodea; Termitidae.
GGUAUUUUGACCGUGCAAAGGUAGCAUAGUCAUUAGUUCUUUAAUUGUGAUCUGGUAUGAAUGGCUUGACGAGACAUGGGCUGUCUUAGGUGUGGGAUUUAUUGUUGAAUUUGGAGUUUAAGUUAAAAUUCUUAGAUGUUUUUAUGGGACGAGAAGACCCUAUAGAGUUUGACAUUUGACUGUGCAUUCCUUGUUGUUUGUUUUGAAUUUUUGCGUGUCUCUUGUUUUGUUGGGGUGAUGGGAGGAAUUUAUUUAACUCCUCUUCGUGUGUGGUAUAUUGAUUUAUGUUUAUUUUGAUCCAUUUAUUUUGAUUGUAAGAUUAAA